This 349-nucleotide long non-coding RNA is filed under the name Androctonus crassicauda. Lineage: Eukaryota; Metazoa; Arthropoda; Arachnida; Scorpiones; Buthidae. The record is from RNAcentral.
UGUCACCACAGAUGAGUUACGUUCUAAAUAAGGUGAGAUGGGGAAUGGACUCGGAGGCCUUUUAUGGUUUUGGCACGGACGAUACGGUAACUCAGGAUCCAAACCCAAUCGGGCACGAAGCCAAAAUGUGGUGGGGGCCAUUGGGGGGACCGGUCGGGCGACAUUCCGCUCGUCAAAGGGCGAACACUCAAGGUCGGAGAUGAAAUGGAGGGUGCGGACACGUGACUGGACCAGGUUGUAACCAGUUUUAUCGAAUUAUAAAAAAUUCGAUCAUGGAAAAAUUUAAAAGUGAAAAAUGUAUACAGGAUAUAUAUAUAUAUAUAUUUUUUUUUCCUCUGUAAGAUCUCAA